GAUGAACGCUGGCGGCGUGCCUAAUACAUGCAAGUCGAGCGAACGGACGAGAAGCUUGCUUCUCUGAUGUUAGCGGCGGACGUGUGAGUAACACGUGGAUAACCUACCUAUAAGACUGGGAUAACUUCGGGAAACCGGAGCUAAUACCGGAUAAUAUUUUGAACCGCAUGGUUCAAAAGUGAAAGACGUUCUUGCUGUCACUUCUAGAUGGAUCCGCGCUGCAUUAGCUAGUUGGUAAGGUAACGGCUUACCAAGGCAACGAUGCAUAGCCGACCUGAGAGGGUGAUCGGCCACACUGGAUCUGAGACACGGUCCAGACUCCUACGGGAGGGAGCAGUAGGGAAUCUUCCGCAAUGGGCGAAAGCCUGACGGAGCAACGCCGCGUGAGUGAUGAAGGUCUUCGGAUCGUAAAAAUCUGUUAUUAGGGAAGAACAUAUGUGUAAGUAACUGUGCACAUCUUGACGGUACCUAAUCAGAAAGCCACGGCUAACUACGUG
This 497-nucleotide ribosomal RNA is filed under the name uncultured bacterium. Its description in RNAcentral is "partial 16S ribosomal RNA". It matches the Rfam family "Bacterial small subunit ribosomal RNA", at positions 28 to 507 of the family's 1533-position model. The record is from RNAcentral.